RNAcentral lists this ribosomal RNA (356 nucleotides) under uncultured bacterium. RNAcentral's name for it is "bacterial SSU rRNA". It matches the Rfam family "Bacterial small subunit ribosomal RNA", at positions 70 to 422 of the family's 1533-position model. The record is from RNAcentral.
AAAGCUCCCUUCGGGGAGUGCAUAAAGUGGCGCACGGGUGAGUAACACGUAAGUAAUCUACCUUCGAGUGGGGAAUAACCCGGGGAAACCCGAGCUAAUACCGCAUAAUGCAGCGGCACCUAAUGGUGACAGUUGUUAAAGGAGCAAUCCGCUUGAAGAGGAGCUUGCGGCAGAUUAGCUUGUUGGUAAGGUAACGGCUUACCAAGGCAACGAUCUGUAUCCGGUCUAAGAGGACGGUCGGACACACUGACACUGAAUAACGGGUCAGACUCCUACGGGAGGCAGCAGUCGGGAAUUUUGGGCAAUGGGGGAAACCCUGACCCAGCAACGCCGCGUGAAGGAUGAAGUAUUUCGGU